AUUAAAACACUAGCUCCCGUACGAUCACUGAAGUCUAGUGAUGUCAAGCCUGGUCAGUACGUAGAUGGGUGACUACUUGAGAAUACCAGGUGCUGUAAG
Acanthosepion pharaonis is the source of this 99-nucleotide non-coding RNA. The record is from the annotation of a GenBank genome assembly. NCBI's taxonomy places the organism in Eukaryota, Metazoa, Mollusca, Cephalopoda, Sepiida, Sepiidae.